RNAcentral lists this ribosomal RNA (464 nucleotides) under Paraclostridium bifermentans. Its description in RNAcentral is "bacterial SSU rRNA". It matches the Rfam family "Bacterial small subunit ribosomal RNA", at positions 1 to 501 of the family's 1533-position model. Lineage: Bacteria; Bacillati; Bacillota; Clostridia; Peptostreptococcales; Peptostreptococcaceae. The record is from RNAcentral.
UGAGUUUGAUCCUGGCUCAGGAUGAACGCUGGCGGCGUGCCUAACACAUGCAAGUCGAGCGAUCUCUUCGGAGAGAGCGGCGGACGGGUGAGUAACGCGUGGGUAACCUGCCCUGUACACACGGAUAACAUACCGAAAGGUAUACUAAUACGGGAUAACAUANGAAAGUCGCAUGGCUUUUGUAUCAAAGCUCCGGCGGUACAGGAUGGACCCGCGUCUGAUUAGCUAGUUGGUAAGGUAAUGGCUUACCAAGGCAACGAUCAGUAGCCGACCUGAGAGGGUGAUCGGCCACACUGGAACUGAGACACGGUCCAGACUCCUACGGGAGGCAGCAGUGGGGAAUAUUGCACAAUGGGCGAAAGCCUGAUGCAGCAACGCCGCGUGAGCGAUGAAGGCCUUCGGGUCGUAAAGCUCUGUCCACAAGGAAGAUAAUGACGGUACUUGAGGAGGAAGCCCCGGCUAAC